RNAcentral lists this ribosomal RNA (498 nucleotides) under uncultured bacterium. Its description in RNAcentral is "partial 16S ribosomal RNA". It matches the Rfam family "Bacterial small subunit ribosomal RNA", at positions 30 to 523 of the family's 1533-position model. The record is from RNAcentral.
AUUGAACGCUGGCGGCAUGCCCUACACAUGCAAGUCGAACGGUAACAGGUCUUCGGAUGCUGACGAGUGGCGAACGGGUGAGUAAUACAUCGGAACGUGCCUAGUAGUGGGGGAUAACUACUCGAAAGAGUGGCUAAUACCGCAUGAGAUCUACGGAUGAAAGCAGGGGAUCGCAAGACCUUGUGCUACUAGAGCGGCCGAUGGCAGAGUAGGUAGUUGGUGGGAUAAAAGCUUACCAAGCCGACGAACUGUAGCUGGUCUGAGAGGACGAUCAGCCCAACUGGGGCUGAGACAAGGACCGGCCUCCUACGGGAGGCAGCAGGUGGGAAUUUUGGACAAUGGGCGAAAGCCUGAUCCAGCAAUGCCGCGUGCAGGAUGAAGGCCUUCGGGUUGUAAACUGCUUUUGUACGGAACGAAAAGCCCCGGGUUAAUACCCUGGGGUCAUGACGGUACCGUAAGAAUAAGCACCGGCUAACUACGUGCCAGCCGCCGCCGUAA